Molecule: ribosomal RNA, 447 nt
Filed under: uncultured bacterium
Lineage: Bacteria
Description: partial 16S ribosomal RNA
Rfam family: Bacterial small subunit ribosomal RNA
Source: RNAcentral
AACGAACGCUGGCGGCAUGCCUAACACAUGCAAGUCGAGCGCCCCGCAAGGGGAGCGGCAGACGGGUGAGUAACGCGUGGGAAUCUACCGAGCCCUAAGGAAUAGCUCCGGGAAACUGGAAUUAAUACCUUAUACGCCCUUUUGGGGAAAGAUUUAUCGGGGUUUGAUGAGCCCGCGUUGGAUUAGCUAGUUGGUGGGGUAAAGGCCUACCAAGGCGACGAUCCAUAGCUGGUCUGAGAGGAUGAUCAGCCACAUUGGGACUGAGACACGGCCCAAACUCCUACGGGAGGCAGCAGUGGGGAAUAUUGGACAAUGGGCGCAAGCCUGAUCCAGCCAUGCCGCGUGAGUGAUGAAGGCCCUAGGGUUGUAAAGCUCUUUCACCGGUGAAGAUAAUGACGGUAACCGGAGAAGAAGCCCCGGCUAACUUCGUGCCAGCCGCCGCCGUAA